RNAcentral lists this ribosomal RNA (357 nucleotides) under uncultured bacterium. RNAcentral describes it as "bacterial SSU rRNA". It matches the Rfam family "Bacterial small subunit ribosomal RNA", at positions 8 to 350 of the family's 1533-position model. The record is from RNAcentral.
AGAGUUUGAUCCUGGCUCAGGAUGAGCGCUAGCUACAGGCUUAACACAUGCAAGUCGAGGGGAAACGACAUCGAAAGCUUGCUUUUGAUGGGCGUCGACCGGCGCACGGGUGAGUAACGCGUAUCCAACCUGCCCACCACUUGGGGAUAACCUUGCGAAAGUAAGACUAAUACCCAAUGACGUCUCUAGAAGACAUCUGAAAGAGAUUAAAGAUUUAUCGGUGAUGGAUGGGGAUGCGUCUGAUUAGCUUGGUUGGCGGGGUAACGGCCCACCAAGGCGACGAUCAGUAGGGGUUCUGAGAGGAAGGUCCCCCANAUUGGAACUGAGACCACGGUCCAAACGUCCCUACGGGAGGCA